UAGAAAUAUUAAUGAAGAUGGAGAGUUUUGAUCUCUCUUGUGUAGGUUCGAUUCCUGCUUUUCUAA
Molecule: transfer RNA, 66 nt
Filed under: Grus japonensis (Red-crowned crane)
Lineage: Eukaryota; Metazoa; Chordata; Aves; Gruiformes; Gruidae
Description: tRNA-Gln
Source: RNAcentral